RNAcentral lists this long non-coding RNA (211 nucleotides) under Elaeis guineensis (African oil palm). RNAcentral's name for it is "long non-coding RNA (EGUI_LNC039949)". The record is from RNAcentral. Lineage: Eukaryota; Viridiplantae; Streptophyta; Magnoliopsida; Arecales; Arecaceae.
UCCCCCUCUAGCUUCAAGAUUCAAAAUACAGUGUCCCUCGACCGACCCUAACUCGAUAGUGCCAGUAAUUCGAGGGAAGGAUCCAAAACAAAGAAAAAUCAAUCCUUCUAUCCAUGAACCGAAGAAGGGGCCCCUUUUAUCAAAGUAGGGGCACCAUUUAGGAGAGAGAUAUACCACCAGUCACACCUCUUCAAGAUAAAGAAGAAUCGAA